GCUGGAAUAGCUCAGACGGUAGAGCGCGUCAUUGGUAGUGACGAGGUCACGGGUCCGAUUCCCGUUUUCAGCU
RNAcentral lists this transfer RNA (73 nucleotides) under Eubacteriales bacterium. RNAcentral's name for it is "tRNA-Thr". It matches the Rfam family "tRNA". From Rfam's summary of the family: Transfer RNA (tRNA) molecules are approximately 80 nucleotides in length. Their secondary structure includes four short double-helical elements and three loops (D, anti-codon, and T loops). Lineage: Bacteria; Bacillati; Bacillota; Clostridia; Eubacteriales. The record is from RNAcentral.